UACGCAGGCGGCUUGGUAAGACAGAUGUGAAAUCCCCGGGCCUAACCUGGGAACUGCAUUUGUGACUGCCAGGCUCGAGUCUGUCAGAGGGGGGUGGAAUUCCACGUGUAGCAGUGAAAUGCGUAGAGAUGUGGAGGAACACCGAUGGCGAAGGCAGCCCCCUGGGAUGAGACUGACGCUCAUGUACGAAAGCGUGGGGAGCAAACAGGAUUAGAUACCCUGGUAGUCCACGCCCUAAACGAUGUCGACUAGUUGUCGGGGAUUCAUUUUCUCGGUAACGCAGCUAACGCGUGAAGUCGACCGCCUGGGGAGUACGGUCGCAAGAUUAAAA
RNAcentral lists this ribosomal RNA (331 nucleotides) under uncultured bacterium. RNAcentral's name for it is "bacterial SSU rRNA". It matches the Rfam family "Bacterial small subunit ribosomal RNA", at positions 568 to 899 of the family's 1533-position model. The record is from RNAcentral.